RNAcentral lists this long non-coding RNA (270 nucleotides) under Lathyrus oleraceus (garden pea). RNAcentral describes it as "Pisum sativum (pea) long non-coding RNA (PSAT_LNC025755)". Lineage: Eukaryota; Viridiplantae; Streptophyta; Magnoliopsida; Fabales; Fabaceae. The record is from RNAcentral.
UUGCGUACAGCUGGUUAUGUACUUGGUUUUGUAACCCUUUAACUUUUGAUAUUUCGGUUAAUGACUAAAUAGACAUUUAUUUUGUCUCUUUGGUCUCUUUUGGCUAAAAAGGGGGAGAAGGUAGCUAUAGCUAUAGCUAUAGAUGAUGUUUGUCUGAUACAAAGAGGGAGAACUUUCUGGUGUGUAUUUGUUUGGCACAGGGGGAGGAUUCUCUGUGUUCUGUAUGUGUGAAGCAGGUUGUUGCUUGGUGUGGACUAGAUGAAGGGGGGG